GCCCCUGUGGCGGAACUGGUAGACGCGGCAGACUCAAAAUCUGUUGUUGGCGACAACGUGCUGGUUCGAUUCCGGCCAGGGGCACCA
This 87-nucleotide transfer RNA is filed under the name Alphaproteobacteria bacterium. RNAcentral's name for it is "tRNA-Leu". It matches the Rfam family "tRNA". Rfam says of the family: Transfer RNA (tRNA) molecules are approximately 80 nucleotides in length. Their secondary structure includes four short double-helical elements and three loops (D, anti-codon, and T loops). The record is from RNAcentral. Lineage: Bacteria; Pseudomonadati; Pseudomonadota; Alphaproteobacteria.